This 494-nucleotide ribosomal RNA is filed under the name uncultured bacterium. Its description in RNAcentral is "partial 16S ribosomal RNA". It matches the Rfam family "Bacterial small subunit ribosomal RNA", at positions 28 to 507 of the family's 1533-position model. The record is from RNAcentral.
GACGAACGCUGGCGGCGUGCUUAACACAUGCAAGUCGAACGGAAAGGCCUGCUUUCCCUUGUGGAUUGCGGGUACUCGAGUGGCGAACGGGUGAGUAACACGUGAGUGAUCUGCCCCCAACUUGGGUAUAAGCCUGGGAAACUGGGUCUAAUUCCCGAUAGGACUGCAGGGUGGUGCCUGUGGUGGAAAACGAUUUUCUAGUGGUUGGGGAUGAGCUCGCGGCCUAUCAGCUUGUUGGUGGGGUAAUGGCCUACCAAGGCGGCGACGGGUAGCCGGCCUGGGAGGGUGGACGGCCACAUUGGGACUGGGAUACGGCCCAGACUCCUACGGGAGGCAGCAGUGGGGAAUAUUGCACAAUGGGCGCAAGCCUGAUGCAGCGACGCCGCGUGGGGGAUGACGGCCUUUGGGUUGUAAACUCCUUUCGACCGCGAGGAAGCCACCUGGUUGGAAGGGUGGUGACGGUAGUGGUAGAAGAAGCACCGGCUAACUACGUG